This is an RNA transcript of Ochotona princeps (American pika), 2527 nucleotides long. It is a transcript of the gene named family with sequence similarity 76 member B, with no coding region annotated. The transcript is spliced from 13 exons. NCBI's taxonomy places the organism in Eukaryota, Metazoa, Chordata, Mammalia, Lagomorpha, Ochotonidae. The record is from RefSeq and is a predicted model, not a curated record.
GGCCAAUCAGGGCUGGGGAAGGGAGUCUGAGGAGGAAGCGGAUCCGCGACGGUGCAGCGAGACCGCCCCGAACUCUGGGCUCCGUCUCCCUCCGCCGCUGUGGGCGCCUGAGACGGCCGGGGCUGGGACGGCGCUGCCAGGCGGGCUGGGGCGGACGUGGAGACGGAGGGAGACGGCGGCGUCCGUGGAGAGUUCGGGGAGCGGGGGCCGCAGCGGCGGAGGCCGAGUUCCCCGGAGGACCCCGCCUCGGAGCGGGCGGCGGCGGCGGAGGAGACUGAGGGGGCAGGAUGGCGGCCUCGGCCCUGUACGCCUGCACCAAGUGUACCCAGCGCUAUCCCUUCGAGGAGCUCUCCCAGGGCCAGCAGCUCUGCAAGGAAUGUCGGAUUGCACAUCCUAUUGUAAAGUGCACUUACUGCAGAUCAGAAUUCCAACAAGAGAGCAAAACGAACACAAUUUGUAAGAAGUGUGCUCAAAAUGUGAAGCAAUUUGGGACGCCCAAACCUUGUCAGUACUGUAACAUAAUUGCGGCAUUUAUUGGUACCAAGUGUCAGCGUUGCACAAAUUCAGAAAAAAAGUAUGGACCACCUCAGACUUGUGAACAGUGCAAACAGCAGUGUGCUUUUGAUCGGAAGGAGGAAGGAAGAAGAAAGGUUGAUGGGAAGUUGUUGUGCUGGCUCUGUACCUUAUCAUACAAGAGAGUUUUACAGAAGACGAAAGAGCAGAGGAAGACUCUGGGGUCCUCACAUUCAAAUUCGUCUUCAGCUCUUCCCGAGAAAGACCAGCAUCAUUCAAAGCACCACCACCACCACCAUCACCAUCGUCAUAGCAGUAGCCAUCACAAAAUCAGCAGUUUAAGUCCUGAACAAGAGCAGGGACUGUGGAAACAGAGCCAUAAAUCCUCUGCAGCAAUCCAGAAUGAAACUCCAAAGAAAAAGCCCAAAUUGGAAACCAAGCCAUCUAAUGGAGAUAGUAGCUCUAUAAAUCAGUCAGCAGAUAGUGGGGGAACAGACAAUUUUGUCCUCAUAAGUCAACUGAAAGAAGAAGUGAUGUCGCUUAAGCGUCUCUUACAGCAAAGAGACCAGACAAUUUUAGAGAAAGACAAAAAGUUAACAGAACUAAAGGCAGAUUUUCAAUAUCAAGAAUCAAACUUGAGAACAAAGAUGAACAGCAUGGAAAAAGCUCACAAAGAAACGGUGGAGCAGCUUCAGGCCAAAAACAGAGAACUACUCAAACAGGUUGCAGCACUGUCAAAGGGGAGCUACUCAAUAUUUUCCUCAGGCAACAUGCUAGUCUGAAUGCAGUGGAAUGUUCAGGAUUGGUCACCAGUUCUGAAGAAAAGUAUCCAAGAAGUUACGUGAUUAGAGAAGGCUGGAAACUGAACUUGACUAAUAAUGUUCAGGCUGGUUUCCAAGAUAAAAAGGGACGGGCAGGCAACAACCCUAAAGAAAACUGGGCCUUUUAGGGAAAUGAAGAAACUUCAUAAUAAAAAUGCACGUAAUUUUUAACUGUAAGAAAUGACAACUUCAGAAUGAGAAAAAUAUCUCAAGUUACUGUUUCUCACCUCUGGACCAGCAAAAUCCCAAGUCACAUUUUACUGACAAGAUACUGGUGAAACAUCUACUCAGACAUUGCUUUGGUCAUUACAGCACUGUCUCUCUGAAGGUUGAAUGAGCAGAUUCAAUCAGAUUUAAACAAGAUUUAUGUGGUUGUCAUGCAUGUGAAAAACCAAGAGCUAAUAAUAGUUACAGACUUGAUUAUUUAAGGGAAUACUCCAAAUCUCCACACACUGUUACAGCAUGGCUGAGCAAACGGAAGCCACCAGGCAGAUUUCUAACGUCAUCGUCUGUGCGCUCCUGUGGUUACCAGCAUGGACCACAGUGAUCAUCUGCUGUCAGUGAGGUGGGCUGCUUCCUAGUCUAUAAAUAUCUCUGUAGUUGCUUAGAGUGGAGGGAGUAGGGAUAUUUGUCUAGUUAGUCUUUUGUUUGAGUAAAGGAAUAGGAAACUUUUAUAAUAAAAUUUCUUUUAAAACAAAAUACUACAUUUUCCCCAUGUUCUCAAUGUUUGUGUAUUCAUUCUAUCUGCCGAAGUUGAAGUAUUAGAGUCAAAAAACCUUUGGAAAUGUUUGAAAAGAUAUACAAAACAAACAUUUGGAUUAGGAAUAGGACUAUGAACUCAGCUGGCACAUUGAAUUGCUCAUAAUAGAAUAUGAGAUUAAAAGUCACAGUUGCAGAGCAAUUUUGGUUCAGUAGUGAAGAUACCGCUUGUGAUGCCUGGGCCUCAUAUGGGAAUCCCUUGGUCUGAAUCCAUGCUCCAGUUCUGGCUUCCUGUUAAUGAGCACUUUGCAGGGCAGCACAUGAUGCUUCAAGUAUUGAGUCUCUACCAUCCAUUUGAGAGAUGUCUGAAACCUCAAGCCCCUGACUCUGAUCUGGCUUACACUUGGCUCUUUGUGAACCAUUUAGAGAUUAAGCCAACAGAUGGGAAAUCCCCUCCCCCAACACCCUUCAAAUAAGUGAGUUUUAACAAGUUG